Molecule: ribosomal RNA, 1372 nt
Filed under: uncultured bacterium
Lineage: Bacteria
Description: bacterial SSU rRNA
Rfam family: Bacterial small subunit ribosomal RNA
Source: RNAcentral
GAUGAACGCUGGCGGCGUGCCUAAUACAUGCAAGUCGAGCGAACGGACGAGAAGCUUGCUUCUCUGAUGUUAGCGGCGGACGGGUGAGUAACACGUGGAUAACCUACCUAUAAGACUGGGAUAACUUCGGGAAACCGGAGCUAAUACCGGAUAAUAUUUUGAACCGCAUGGUUCAAAAGUGAAAGACGGUCUUGCUGUCACUUAUAGAUGGAUCCGCGCUGCAUUAGCUAGUUGGUAAGGUAACGGCUUACCAAGGCAACGAUGCAUAGCCGACCUGAGAGGGUGAUCGGCCACACUGGAACUGAGACACGGUCCAGACUCCUACGGGAGGCAGCAGUAGGGAAUCUUCCGCAAUGGGCGAAAGCCUGACGGAGCAACGCCGCGUGAGUGAUGAAGGUCUUCGGAUCGUAAAACUCUGUUAUUAGGGAAGAACAUAUGUGUAAGUAACUGUGCACAUCUUGACGGUACCUAAUCAGAAAGCCACGGCUAACUACGUGCCAGCAGCCGCGGUAAUACGUAGGUGGCAAGCGUUAUCCGGAAUUAUUGGGCGUAAAGCGCGCGUAGGCGGUUUUUUAAGUCUGAUGUGAAAGCCCACGGCUCAACCGUGGAGGGUCAUUGGAAACUGGAAAACUUGAGUGCAGAAGAGGAAAGUGGAAUUCCAUGUGUAGCGGUGAAAUGCGCAGAGAUAUGGAGGAACACCAGUGGCGAAGGCGACUUUCUGGUCUGUAACUGACGCUGAUGUGCGAAAACGUGGGGAUCAAACAGGAUUAGAUACCCUGGUAGUCCACGCCGUAAACGAUGAGUGCUAAGUGUUAGGGGGUUUCCGCCCCUUAGUGCUGCAGCUAACGCAUUAAGCACUCCGCCUGGGGAGUACGACCGCAAGGUUGAAACUCAAAGGAAUUGACGGGGACCCGCACAAGCGGUGGAGCAUGUGGUUUAAUUCGAAGCAACGCGAAGAACCUUACCAAAUCUUGACAUCCUUUGACAACUCUAGAGAUAGAGCCUUCCCCUUCGGGGGACAAAGUGACAGGUGGUGCAUGGUUGUCGUCAGCUCGUGUCGUGAGAUGUUGGGUUAAGUCCCGCAACGAGCGCAACCCUUAAGCUUAGUUGCCAUCAUUAAGUUGGGCACUCUAAGUUGACUGCCGGUGACAAACCGGAGGAAGGUGGGGAUGACGUCAAAUCAUCAUGCCCCUUAUGAUUUGGGCUACACACGUGCUACAAUGGACAAUACAAAGGGCAGCGAAACCGCGAGGUCAAGCAAAUCCCAUAAAGUUGUUCUCAGUUCGGAUUGUAGUCUGCAACUCGACUACAUGAAGCUGGAAUCGCUAGUAAUCGUAGAUCAGCAUGCUACGGUGAAUACGUUCCCGGGUCU